AGUGAACGCUGGCGGUAGGCCUAACACAUGCAAGUCGAACGGCAGCACAGUAAGAGCUUGCUCUUACGGGUGGCGAGUGGCGGACGGGUGAGGAAUACAUCGGAAUCUACUUUUUCGUGGGGGAUAACGUAGGGAAACUUACGCUAAUACCGCAUACGACCUACGGGUGAAAGCAGGGGAUCUUCGGACCUUGCGCGAUUGAAUGAGCCGAUGUCGGAUUAGCUAGUUGGCGGGGUAAAGGCCCACCAAGGCGACGAUCCGUAGCUGGUCUGAGAGGAUGUACAGCCACACUGGAACUGAGACACGGUCCAGACUCCUAGGGGAGGCAGCAGGGGGGAAUAUGGGAAAAGGGGGGCAAGCCUGACCCAGCCAUACCGGGGGGGUGAAGAAGGCCUUCGGGUUGUAAAGCCCUUUUGUUGGGAAAAAAAAGCAGCAGGUUAAUACCCCGCUGUUCUGACGGUACCAAAAAAAUAAGCACCGGCUAACUUCGU
This 491-nucleotide ribosomal RNA is filed under the name uncultured bacterium. Its description in RNAcentral is "partial 16S ribosomal RNA". It matches the Rfam family "Bacterial small subunit ribosomal RNA", at positions 29 to 506 of the family's 1533-position model. The record is from RNAcentral.